Microcebus murinus (gray mouse lemur) is the source of this 4133-nucleotide non-coding RNA. The record is from RefSeq and is a predicted model, not a curated record. Lineage: Eukaryota; Metazoa; Chordata; Mammalia; Primates; Cheirogaleidae.
GACAGACAUGACGCCUGUGAUGAUUCUAUUCAUGCCUUUCACAGACCAGGAACCUUGGGGUCCUGCAGCACAGCUUCUGCCUCUGACACUUUACUUGCUGGGAGGGCACCAAGAACCUUUGGAUCAUCUCCUAGAGUGGAAACCUGUGUGCCUUCAGCCUCUUCUGUCUUUCUGCAGCUUCGGUGCCAUUAGAGGUUUUCCUGAAAACUCUUCCUUUUCAGUUUCCCUGGAACUGUACUCCUUUGGAUUUCUUCUUUUUAUGAUUUAUCUUUGAAUUAUAAUCCUGACUUAGCUGCACUGCCUUCUGCCCAUGAAAUGUUCUACCUUUAAUCUUUUUUUUUUUCUCAGUACAUCUUUUUUUUAUAAACUUCAAAUAUUACUCUGGUGACUAUUCCUGCCAAUGUACAUCUUUAGUCCUGACCCCUCUCCUGAGCUAAGUGGUGGAGAACUCCACUGGUUGUCCCUCUGUUGUUCAGACUUAGUAUUAAACCAUACUCAUUCAUUCAUUUAUUUCACUCAGCACAUAUUUAGUAAGUAUCUACUACAUGUAAAAUAAAUACCAUUCUAGACACUAGGAGGGGGAAAUUCAAACAUGGAUCAAAUCCGAGCCUGCUCCUUAGGGGCUUGCAGUACAGAUUACGGGGAGAAAGUGAGAUAAGAGGGUAUCUGGGGAACUAGGAAGCUUUAUCAAAGUAAAGCUUUGAAUUCAGUCAUCAAGUUACAGAAGUGGUCUUAUGGAUAGGUCAAAGGAAGCAAAAUGACUAACGCCUGCGAAAGUGAAAGAGAAUGGAAAGUCUAGUUUGGACGGAGUGAAAUGGAGAAAGUGCAUAUCUGAUGAUUAGAGUAUCAAUAUGGGCAUCUUCAGAGAAUAAAGAAGGAGGGGCUAUGGGCAAUGGAAACUAGUAUUUAUGGAAUGUCUAUUCUGAAUCAGGCAGUAUAUUUUUCAGAUAUACCCUGCAGGCUGGGGUGAGAAUAGGGGUAAGAUGUAUUCCUGGAAAUGAAAGUUCUAUAAAGAGCAUAGUGGCUAUGAAGAUAUAUUCCUGACAGUGUAAUUUAUUACCUACCUAGGACCAACAUGUACGAUCAAGGGUUUAUCUAUUAAUAUCUUUAUUUUCUUGGCAUUAUUUGUAAUUAUUUUAGUAGUCGGUUUAGCUAAGCUUAGAAUAUGACCUAUAUCUGUUUGAUGUUCAAAACAGUCAAACUAUAGUAGUCUCCCUUUUUCUGUGAUUUCCUUUUCUGUGAUUUCCUAUGGCCAACUGCAGUCUGAAAACAUUAAAUGGAAAAUUCCAGAAAUAAAUAAUUCAUAAGUUUUAAAUUGCAUGCUAUACUGAGUAGUGUGGACUCUCAUGCCAUCCUGCUCCAUCUCACCUGGAUCAUGAAUCAUCCCUUUGUCCAGCAUAUCUACACGCUAUACUCCACAUACUUAGUAGUCACUGAAAUAACAGUCAAUGGUACUAACUUCUCAAUUAUUUGUUGAGCAACUAUCAUAAGCAGGUUGGUGCUAAGUUCCAGGGUUUCCAGUGGUGAACAAAACAGACAACACUCCAGCUCUUACGGGUUUACAGUCUGGUGCAGGCAGGCAGACAUUAAAUAAUCACAACUCCGGUUGUGAUUAAAAAAAAAAAAACUAUGAAGGAAAAAGUAUGAAGACAAUGUAGGAGGAACAAAUACUCGGCUGGGAAAUCAGGGAAGGCAACCUUGUGAAAGUAACUUUUACAGACAUUUGAAGUAUUGAGCAAAAGUUAUCCAGGUAAAGGUUGAAUGGAAAGUGGAGAGCGCUGUUCAGAUAGCAGAAAUGGUGUGAGCAAAGACUCUGAGGCAGAAAGGAGCUCUGUGCUUGAGAAACAGAGAAGACUAUAUGGCUGCACCACAGUGAACCAAGAGAGACAUGCCCAAGGGGUAGUAGGAACCAGGCCAUAUGUGGCUUUGUGGCACAUGUUUGGGAUUUUGAACUUUACCUUUAGAGGACUGGCAAGUCAUUGAAGGAUUUUAUAUAGGAAAUGACAUGAACAUAUUUGUGUUUUAAAAAAGGUCACUUUGGCUGCUAUCUGGAAAAUGAGUUAUGUAUUAGAGGUCAUGGUAGGCAUAAUAAUGGCCUCCCAAAGAUAUCCACAUCCUAAUCCCCAGAAUCUGUGAAUACCUUAAAUUAUAUGGCAUAGGGGAAGUAAUUAGCUAAUCAGCUGACCUUAAGAUAGGGAGAUUAUUUUGGAUUAUUUUGGGAAGUGAAAUAACAAGUGUUCUUAAAAGUAGAAUUUAGGGACAAAAGAAGUGGAAUAAGGGAAAAAGGGUCAAAGAGAUACAGUUGGCUUUGGAGAUGAAGGAAGGGGGUCACAAGGUGUGUGGGUAGCUUCUAGAAGAUCGAAGGCCAUGAAAAUAGAGUCUCUCUUACAACCUUCAGAAGGAAAUCAAACCCACCUUGAUUUUAACCCAUUGAAACCAAUGUAAAACUUCUACAGAAGUGUAAGAAAAUAAAUUGGUGUUAUUUUAAGCCACUAAGUCUGUGGUAAUUUGUUCCAGCAGAAACAGAAAACUAAUACAGAGGGACAUUAGAGGCUAAGGGAAGACCAGCUGGGAGGCUACAAUGUAGUCCAGAGUGGAGAUAAAGAUGAUUUGGACAAGUGGGUAUGUGGGGAGAGAGAAAUAGAUAGUUCAAGCUCCACCUUGGAUGAUGAGUGUCAGGUUUCUGGCACAGGCUACCAGGAAGAAGGAGAUGUUUUCCCUGAACUGGGGCAGACCGGAAAAGGGAAAGAAAUAUGGAGGAUAUCAAUAGUUUGGUUUUGGACUCACUAGUUUGAUGUGCCUGUGAGGCAUUAAGAAGGCGGUUGGGUUGGUGGGUGAGUCUGGAGCUGAGAAGAGAAGGCUAGCUAGAAAUUGAAAUCUGGGCCUCAGCAUCUGUAGAUGGCCUUUAAAAUUGUGAGAGUAGAUGAGAUACCUAUGACAGUGUUUUCAAACAUUCAGAACCCAUGCAGACAACUGAUUUUUAAAUAAUACAGCGGUAUUUUUCAAAAUUAAUGUUUUUAUUCUCAUUGAAAGGAUGAUUUUUCAUAGCUUCUUACAAAGUAUUUGUAUCUAAUUUGAACAUAGGUAGCUUGAGAUGUAGGUUAGACCCAGACACUUUGAUUUUUUUUUUACCCUGUAUUUCUACUAAAUUAGGAAAUACCAUGCUACACUGAUAGAUUGUCAAGAAUUGCAACUUGUGUUUGCUGGCUCUAUCAUCUGUUUGGAAUAUUAAGUUCAAACACAGACUGAGAACUUUUGUGAAGAUUUCUCCCUGAAGACUAUUUCUAGUACUCUUUCAGUCACUACAUUGACAAGCUUAUAAUAUUAAACAAUCAUAAGGAUGAAUGUUUCAACCAGCCUGAAUGUUUGAAAGAUAGGAGCAAAUUGAUUCUUAAACCAAUUUUUGACUACUUCAGUCUCUGGAAAGUAUUUUCUCAUGUUUUGUUGUAACAUUUAGAUGUGUUCUUUAUGUAUCAACAAUAGUGUAAUCAGUCUCAUUCUCAGAUGAGUGAAGAAACCACCAGAUUUGGGGAAGGAAUCACAUUAUAGCAAUUGAGCCAUUUGCACCAUAGUUUUGUGACUGCAAAAUGUAGUGUUUUAUUCUCAGCAUUAAAAAUCAGCCUUGAAGUAGGGGAAUUCAGGUUAUUUAAAAUUCUAAAUAUGUAUCUGCUAUACUCCAUUUAAUCAGGCCUUUGGAAAACAUAGGAUUACUUCAUUGGUAUUGAUGAUCUUCAGCAUCAUGAAGAAAUGAUUUUUUAUCUCAGCCCUCAUUUUAGAAACUCUGAUCAACACUUUUUUCCUUGACAGCCAGCAAACUCGAUUGGGAAGAAUAUUCUUGCAAACACUGCUGUUUAUUUCCACAGCAUCUGAGAGCAUGCACUCUGAGUAGUCAAGAUUUGAUGAUAGUCAAUUUCUGUUAUUUCCUUCAACACUUAAUCAUAAUUAAGAAGCAUAUUAUUGACUCCUUACUGUUCCAUGAAUUUAAAGAAUCGUAGUAAUAUAUUAAUAGCAGGAUCCUUUGUUGCUAUUUCUAUAGCUCAUUCUUUUUCAGUAUUGAAUGUGUUGUACCUUUUUUCAACUCAUGUCACAGCUCACAAAAGUAUCAUUGUCUAAAUAAAAACUGUCUUCCCUUG